AUUGAAUUAACUUGGAUACUGUAGCUGACGCGCAAGCGUAUGUGCUCGUGUUCAUUUUAUAUUCUAAUCCCUUUGUGCACCUUUGCUGGUCUUGGAGUUUGAAAGUGAACCACUCGUGUUCUUUGAAUGCGGAUCUAGGGUGUCCUUAUACGACGCUCUUACUCACUAGUAAAGCUUUGAGAUUAGAUUUAUAUACCAUGUUUAAAGUCAAAGAAUGUUAACUUUGUUGGCGCAAGUCAAUGAAAACCUUAUACAACUUUCAGCAACGGAUCUCUUGGCUCUCCCAUCGAUGAAGAACGCAGCGAAAUGCGAUAAGUAAUGUGAAUUGCAGAAUUCAGUGAAUCAUCGAAUCUUUGAACGCACCUUGCACCCUUUGGUAUUCCGAAGGGUAUGCCUGUUUGAGUGUCAUUAAAUUCUCAACCUAACAAUUUAUUGUUGUUAGGCUUGGAUGUGAGGGCUUUUGCUGGCUUCCUUAAGUGUGAUCGGUCAGCUCCCUUGAAAUGCAUUAGUGGAAUCCUUUGUGGAUCAUCACAGAGUGUGAUAAUUAUCGUCGCUCUUGAAGUGAAGCAAUAUUAUAUGGAAUCUGCUUAUAACCGUCCUUAAGCUGGACAAUUUACUUGACAAUUUGACCUCAAAUCAGGUAGGACUACCCGCUGAACUUAAGCAUAUCAAUAAGCGGAGGAAAAGAAACUAACAAGGAUUCCCCUAGUAACUGCGAGUGAAGCGGGAAAAGCUCAAAUUUAAAAUCUGGCAGUCUUGUGCUGUCCGAGUUGUAAUUUAGAGAAGCGUUAUCCGCGCUGGACCGUGUACAAGUCUCUUGGAAUAGAGCGUCAUAGAGGGUGAGAAUCCCGUCUUUGACACGGACUACCAGGGCAUUGUGAUACGCUCUCGAAGAGUCGAGUUGUUUGGGAAUGCAGCUCAAAAUGGGUGGUAAAUUCCAUCUAAAGCUAAAUAUUGGGGAGAGACCGAUAGCGAACAAGUACCGUGAGGGAAAGAUGAAAAGAACUUUGGAAAGAGAGUUAAACAGUACGUGAAAUUGCUGAAAGGGAAACGCUUGAAGUCAGUCGCGACGUUCAGGACUCAGCCAUGCUUUUGUGUGGUGUACUUCCUGUUCGUUGGGUCAACAUCAAUUUUGACCGGUGGACAAGGGUUCAGGGAAUGUGGCUCUCUCGGGAGUGUUAUAGCCUUGGAUCGUAUACAUCGGUUGGGAUUGAGGAACUCAGCACGCCGCAAGGCCGGGUA
This 1242-nucleotide ribosomal RNA is filed under the name uncultured fungus. Its description in RNAcentral is "eukaryotic LSU rRNA". The stretch from base 627 to 1242 matches the Rfam family "Eukaryotic large subunit ribosomal RNA", at positions 1 to 617 of the family's 3401-position model. The record is from RNAcentral. Lineage: Eukaryota; Fungi.